RNAcentral lists this ribosomal RNA (486 nucleotides) under uncultured delta proteobacterium. RNAcentral's name for it is "bacterial SSU rRNA". It matches the Rfam family "Bacterial small subunit ribosomal RNA", at positions 9 to 521 of the family's 1533-position model. Lineage: Bacteria; Deltaproteobacteria. The record is from RNAcentral.
GAGUUUGAUCGUGGCUCAGGACGAACGCUGGCGGUGUGCUUCACACAUGCAAGUCGAACGGGGUAGCAAUACCCAGUGGCGGACGGGUGAGUAACACGUGGGAAUCUACCAUAAGGUGGGGAAUAACAGGCCGAAAGGUCUGCUAAUGCCGCAUAUGUAGGCAUCUCGACAGAGGUGUUUAUGAAAGGAGUAAUCCGCCUUUUGAUGAGCCCGCGUCCGAUUAGCUAGUUGGUAGGGUAAAAGCCUACCAAGGCGACGAUCGGUAGGUGGUCUGAGAGGAUGAUCACCCACAAUGGGACUGAGACACGGCCCAUACUCCUACGGGAGGCAGCAGUGGGGAAUUUUACGCAAUGGGGGAAACCCUGACGUAGCGACACCGCGUGAGCGAAGAAGCCCUUUGGGGUGUAAAGCUCUGUCAACAGGAACGAAAUCAAUGACGGUACCUGUGGAGGAAGCAUCGGCUAACUACGUGCCAGCAGCCGCCGU